GUCGCCGUCGCCGUCUGCGGCGCAGCCGCGCUGGCGGUCGCCGUCUCUCGGUGCGGUCGCGCGAGAUCGAUCGCCGUGGUGGGGCCGGCGCGCGCAGCGACGACACAUCCAGGCCGCGUCUGCGUGGUGCCGGCCCAUGGUGCGUCGCCCUUGCGUGGUGGCGCCGUGAUGGUUGUUGGCGUCGAUGGGGCGUGACUCCGUCGGCGCGCCUCAAACAAUGGCGUCGGCCGACGCAGUGUCGGUCGCUGCUCCGUCUCUUGGCGACGCCCUCGCCGCGUAUCCGAUUCUUUUUUUUCCCUCUCUCUUUUUUUUGCAAAAUAAACAACGACG
RNAcentral lists this long non-coding RNA (330 nucleotides) under Pandoravirus salinus. Its description in RNAcentral is "putative ncRNA". The record is from RNAcentral.